Molecule: long non-coding RNA, 935 nt
Organism: Amphiprion ocellaris (clown anemonefish)
Lineage: Eukaryota; Metazoa; Chordata; Actinopteri; Pomacentridae
Source: Ensembl
GUAGUGUGUACUACCACUACUACUAGUAGUAGUCACAUUACUAUUACUACCACCAAUACUACCAAUAGUAGUUAUAAAGCCUAACUCAUGUAUAUCCAGAUUACCAUCUAUGUUCUUCCUCCAAACCCAUUUUAUGAUUGGGAUUACAGGCAGUUCUUUAGGACUGCUCUCAAAUAAUUGAAAUGUUACUAAACAAGGUUAUACUUAUCAAAUUAAAUAGCUCUGGUCUCCAGUAUAUUGGCGAAUUCAGUUCUUUGUACUUAAUUUAUUAGCAUGAUUUCUUUUUAAUAUGUUGUGUACAGACUUAAUUACUUCUCUGUCUACUUUUCUUACUCCAUGUAGGUUUCCCAGAGACUAUGGGUUGAGGAGGAAUUGGAAGUUUGUCGGCUUAGACCUGGUGUCAUUCCAUCAGUGUUAAACUUCCCGGCUCAUCUUGGAAGAGUACGUGCCAGAAAGACCACGACCAAGCAGCCUUGAGAUCUUAGGCAGCGUCUCCCUGAGGUCCCUCUCUAUCUCCCCACACAUCCACCAACCACUGGAACACAUCUCCAAAGUUCUGCUGGGCCAGCUCAGCUUCCCCUCAGAAGAAGUACCGCCACCUGCCAGAUGAAGGAGCCUUUUGAGAGGCAGCUGGCAUCGUGAUUGGACUGUACUUUGGUCUGUUCCAAUCCAGCUUCAGCUCCAGAGACGGCAGGCGGGACGAGUCAGCGGAGGCCGGGUGGACGAAGGCAUGCAGCUGAGUACAAUCCAGAAAACAACAGAGGAGGAGUGCAGCAGCCCAGGACCAGAACAACCAGAGUAGCAUCGUAUGUCUCUUAGAAAGCAUCAUAGUAUAGCCUCUGGUAUGAAAAAACACCAUCAUAUACAUUGUAUAUUGUACAAAUAACAAGUCAAUGGAAAGAGACCUACAUUGUAGAAUUGUAGUAAUUGUGGGC